Molecule: small nuclear RNA, 105 nt
Organism: Camelus dromedarius (Arabian camel)
Lineage: Eukaryota; Metazoa; Chordata; Mammalia; Artiodactyla; Camelidae
Source: Ensembl
GUUCACUUCAGCGGGACAUAUACUGAAAUUGGAAUGAUAUGGAGAAGAUUAGCAUGGCCCCUGUGCAAAGAUGACAUGCAAAUUCAUGAAGUGUUCCAUAUUUUU